UUUUAAUGAGAGUUUGAUCCUGGCUCAGGACGAACGCUGGCGGCGUGCCUAAUACAUGCAAGUAGAACGCUGAAGUCUGGUGCUUGCACUAGACGGAUGAGUUGCGAACGGGUGAGUAACGCGUAGGUAACCUGCCUCAUAGCGGGGGAUAACUAUUGGAAACGAUAGCUAAUACCGCAUAACAGUAUUUAC
This 192-nucleotide ribosomal RNA is filed under the name Streptococcus suis. RNAcentral's name for it is "partial 16S ribosomal RNA". It matches the Rfam family "Bacterial small subunit ribosomal RNA", at positions 1 to 186 of the family's 1533-position model. The record is from RNAcentral. Lineage: Bacteria; Bacillati; Bacillota; Bacilli; Lactobacillales; Streptococcaceae.